Long non-coding RNA from Triticum aestivum (bread wheat), 2399 nucleotides. RefSeq lists it as uncharacterized. The transcript is spliced from 8 exons. The record is from RefSeq and is a predicted model, not a curated record. Lineage: Eukaryota; Viridiplantae; Streptophyta; Magnoliopsida; Poales; Poaceae.
CGGCUUUGGGCGCACGGGGCGUGGGUGAGGCGUUGUGCACACCCAAGCGCUCGCGAGUGCCACAUCGUGUGCAGCGGUUGGGCGUAGCGAUGGAAAAAAAAACCAUGACCUAUUCAGGCUCUCCUCGCGACCCUCCUCUCCUUCCUAAUCUCCUGCUGCCGCCACCCGGUCCUUCCUCCUUGCCUCUGCCAUUCGAUCUCCGCCGCUCGGUCUCCUCCCCUGCAUGCGCUCCGUCCCUUCCUCCUCGUUGGCGCUCAACUGGCAGUGGAUGAGCAGCGGCGGACGAGAUCGGCGCGUCACGAGAGUGGACACGGCAACUGUCACGGGCAGAGCAGAGCGAAGCCGGCGCGGCGGCCGGGCGCGAUCUGGAGAACUAGUGGGCGGUGGUGCCCGAUAUGGGCCGGCGCGACCUACGCAGGUGAGUUGUGUUGUUGUCCUCUUCGACGACGGCGGCGGGCGGCACGCCCAUCAGUGCCCGUGUGCCCCGGCCGGUGUGGACUGCUUGCGUUGGGCCAAAACAGCUGCUUGCUCAAGCCGGCGUAUGGACUGCCUGGGUCGCGUCCAACCCACUGCCAGUGAAUUUUAUUCUUCUGAAUUGAUGUGUUGCAGUGAUCGGCUGCCCCGCUGCCUAAAAUAUAUGUGCCCUUAAGGCGUGGUGUCCAUGGGGAUAAGAAACCGAGUUGGGUUUCAAGUGGUACCUGAAUGUCUACACCUUGACAAGCUUGACUAAACAUUCCCCUACUAGAUUUCACAAGAGAGCCUUCUAUUGUCGUUUUUAGAACUGAAUAUAUUUGAUGUGUGGUUCAAUAGAAAUGUGGACACACGGAUAGUGCCUUUUCACUAUCAAACAGUCCCAACAAAAAGACUCUCCGCAAAAUCAAUUCUGGUGUCUUGUUUGUUGUUUUAUUUGAUGUGAGGUAAUAUUUUGUUGCAGUGUUUAGCAUAUUUUAUCUUUUCAUUUUUUGUUUGAAGAAAGAUGUUUUUCUUCCUUAAGAAAAUAUUAUUUCGUAAAUAGAACAAUAGUCACCAUACAUGAUCUUCCACCAAGUAGGAAUUUUUGUGUGUGCAAAGAUUGAUUUCCAGGUCAAUUUGUGAAGGUGCGGCCCCAUUCCCCCACCCCUGUCUGGGUUUGCUAGGAGCGUGCCCACUGCCCACACCCGACCUCGCCACCGGGCCGCAUCUUGGCGGAGCUAACACCGUAGGCCUCCAUCUCCUCUACCGAAGAAGGGUUAUUAUCACAUCCAUCCCCACCCAAGAGCGCUCUAAUCCUCUCGACAACAAUGCUCACCACAGUUGCAGUUGCGGGCGCGGAAGCCGCUGUCCCAUACCGAGGACGUGCAGACUGCAAAAGAUUCAUGUGGGCAUUCAUGUUAUUGAAGAAUUUUUCGAAAUGGAAAGCUGAAGGCUGAAUGUUUUUCCAUUAACAUUGUACAUGUGCUGCUAUAGACUGGUCAAUGAAGGCCUCAACCAUUGGAGGCACAAAAUUGUGAAGCUUAAGAUUCCCCACCCUUGUUUCAAUCUUCGAGGAUUUCUCAAUGAAGCACAUGCUGAUGGUGCACUUGCCUUUGGAAUAAUUACUUUGCUCUACAACAGUAUGAAGGGUAAGGUAAUUCUAUUGUCACUGUGCUUCACACUUCUCUGUCAUGGUUUACAGAUUCAGAGCUAGCAAUUAUGCUAAAGGCAGAUACAGAGAAGGGGAUUAGUGGAGUGGAUUUUCAUUUUCAGUACUGGGUUUUACCAUGACCCUGUCGUUGCCUCGUACUACAGCAACAUAUAUGGUCAUUACUACAUCUAUGAGAAUGGAUAUUACGUGUUAUGGACUUCAGAUGCGGUACAGAGCUGCUGAGAGAAGGGUAGACAUAUCUACAAAGAGGGCCACAAGCCUAGUAUGAUUUGUCAGAGCGACAUCUACCCUCCCUGCCACAAAUGAUUGAUCCUUUUAACCAGUUUCAGAAUCCGACCUUUCGUUUCAUUAAACAAGAAAAGCGAGGUUGGUCAUCCAUGAUGCAUUUAUAGAUCCAUUUGAUGAUGAAUCCCAUCCCAUCUUGAAUACCCCUCCCUUCAUUUCAAAGGCAGAGGAGCGUGUCCGGCUGUUGUCGUACGAGAAGAAGCUAGUGUGUGCAGCUGAGGACCCAGGAUGCUAAUGGUGUAGAGCCGUUCACCAUCGAGAGGACCAGGGCUUCCAUCAUGGUCCUCCGGACCAAGCUCAACAUAUCCGCCGCCUUCGUCGACGACUUGUCCUGGAUGGUCGUUGCCGUCUGCAAUGACUCACCUGAAUGUACGCCUGUGAUGGCAUUUUAGUUUCUUCCCCACGUGAUGCAUCAAUACAAUAAGUAUAUCAAGAAUUGCAUGAAUGUGCUAUCCAGAUCCAAAAAGAAAAUGAAGGUGUCGUUCCCCUA